AUCAGGACGCUAUGAUGCAGUCGAGCGGACCGACGGGAGCUUGCUCCCUUAGGUCAGCGGCGGACGGGUGAGUAACACGUGGGUAACCUGCCUGUAAGACUGGGAUAACUCCGGGAAACCGGGGCUAAUACCGGAUGCUUGAUUGAACCGCAUGGUUCAAUCAUAAAAGGUGGCUUUUAGCUACCACUUACAGAUGGACCCGCGGCGCAUUAGCUAGUUGGUGAGGUAACGGCUCACCAAGGCGACGAUGCGUAGCCGACCUGAGAGGGUGAUCGGCCACACUGGGACUGAGACACGGCCCAGACUCCUACGGGAGGCAGCAGUAGGGAAUCUUCCGCAAUGGACGAAAGUCUGACGGAGCAACGCCGCGUGAGUGAUGAAGGUUUUCGGAUCGUAAAACUCUGUUGUUAGGGAAGAACAAGUACCGUUCGAAUAGGGCGGCACCUUGACGGUACCUAACCAGAAAGCCACGGCUAACUACGUGCCAGCAGCCGCGGUAAUACGUAGGUGGCAAGCGUUGUCCGGAAUUAUUGGGCGUAAAGCGCGCGCAGGCGGUUUCUUAAGUCUGAUGUGAAAGCCCCCGGCUCAACCGGGGAGGGUCAUUGGAAACUGGGGAACUUGAGUGCAGAAGAGGAGAGUGGAAUUCCACGUGUAGCGGUGAAAUGCGUAGAGAUGUGGAGGAACACCAGUGGCGAAGGCGACUCUCUGGUCUGUAACUGACGCUGAGGCGCGAAAGCGUGGGGAGCGAACAGGAUUAGAUACCCUGGUAGUCCACGCCGUAAACGAUGAGUGCUAAGUGUUAGAGGGUUUCCGCCCUUUAGUGCUGCAGCAAACGCAUUAAGCACUCCGCCUGGGGAGUACGGUCGCAAGACUGAAACUCAAGGAAUUGACGGGGCCCGCACAAGCGGUGGAGCAUGUGGUUAAUUCGAAGCAACGCGAAGAAGCUUACCAGUCUUGACAUCCUCUGACAACUCUAGAGAUAGGGCUUCCCCUUCGGGGGCAAAUUGACAGGUGGUGCAUGGGUGUCGUCAGCUCGUGU
This 1039-nucleotide ribosomal RNA is filed under the name Bacillus licheniformis. RNAcentral describes it as "bacterial SSU rRNA". It matches the Rfam family "Bacterial small subunit ribosomal RNA", at positions 41 to 1065 of the family's 1533-position model. The record is from RNAcentral. Lineage: Bacteria; Bacillati; Bacillota; Bacilli; Caryophanales; Bacillaceae.